Columba livia (rock pigeon) is the source of this 7287-nucleotide long non-coding RNA. RefSeq lists it as uncharacterized. Lineage: Eukaryota; Metazoa; Chordata; Aves; Columbiformes; Columbidae. The transcript is spliced from 2 exons. The record is from RefSeq and is a predicted model, not a curated record.
AUGUGGCCGUGUCCCCCGCUUCAUGGAGAGGGGAAAAUCCUGGUUAAUGGUAAACUGGAGAGUGGCUGAUUCCACAGAGAGCGGCGUUGGGCUCCCCAGGAAACUGGCCCUGGGCUGGGGAAAGGUGCAGAAAAUAAUCCUAUUGUAACAUCGCACGUGAAAUUUUCUCUAUCAAACCCAUAUCAGCUGUCAGCAAGCAGCAGCGUGUCUCUUUAGGCUGCGUUCAGGGUAAAUAGCGUCGUACCAUCCGUGUUUCUGUAGCAUCCGAACGUUGAGCUGAACCUGGGAGCUCGGAAUGAGGAGGCUGCAUGCGGAACGCGCUUUAUCCGGGACUAUUGUUUUUACUGUUCUAGUCUGUUCUUGGCUGCACAGAUAUCUUUUUAAUGACUGCAGAGUGGCUGGUUACAGAGCAAAGGAUAAAAGCACACGCCGGUAGCAGUCUGCUGCGGGGAAAUGCCUUCUCAUAUGGCAACAGCCUUUUUCUCUUCCGUAGCCUUUGUCUCGAAAGACUAGAAUUCAUUCCAGCAUCGAGAGCUCUUUUCCUGAAGGUUGUACCCAAACAAGACAAACCCCAUUCAUUGUGGAGAAGAGUUUGGUUUGGUUUGGGUGGGUUUUUUGCUGGAAUCGUGUGUCACAUUCUUCCUAUAGGAAAAAACGGACAAGCUGAGAAUAAGCAAAAUGCUCGAAGAGCGUUUGAGGUCUAGAUUAAUUAUUUUUUCAUCUAUAUUUGUACGGGAAGAGUUGGUGCAUUAUAGAGAGGCUACAAGAAGUACCUUUAAACAUUAGUGCGUUUCUUGGAUGUGUUAUGGUUAGUAAAUCCAGGGCAUGGUUUUAUUAGCUCUAGCAUUGAUUAUCUCUGACCCACUCACCUAUAUAUCCUGGAAGGAACGAGUUUCAAACUCUGUUGCUUUAAAUACGUGGUUUUCUAGUGAAGGUGUUUUGGUCUGAAAAGCUUCAGAAACGUGAGUGUGUUCACACUGAUGAGCAGAUUUCUUUUUCAGAGGGCAAGUGUGGGUAGAAAUUCAGCCGUGCUUUCUAGAAAACAGUUUGUCAUCUUUCUGCUUUAAAAGUAAAAGCUCCGUUCCCUUUUGGUGUAAUAGUUCAUAUUUAAUGUGACAUAAGGACAAUUAUGCAAAAAUGUGUUGAAACUGGAAGCUGCUUAUUGCGAGUUGUUGAAUAUUGUAAGAUGAACGACGGCAGCGGGGGACGAAGGCUGGUGAUCAGUUCUGCUCUGUGUUACCCCCGAAUCAGACGGUUCCUCGGAGCUUUGGAGUGUCUGGAGUCUUAUCUUGGGGGGGGGGAAAUAGCUCGAUGCAGAGUUGUGACUAAUAUAUAUUGUGUCUGGGUCAGGCUUUGAAUAACUGGUUGAAUUAUUGAGGGGGAGUUCAGACUUAGUUUGUUCUUUUGUUAAGCCGUAGGUUCCUGAACUAUUGUUGUCAGGUAAUUUUAAAAUCCAAUCUAGAUUGGAUUUAAUAAUCAUAUCUUCUUACUAUAGUAAUAAAAUAUGGUCAUGGAUUAUGGGCUAAGGUUCUUAAAGCUGACUUGGGUAUGGGUUUCUGGUGCCGAUGUGUCGCCAGGAAGAAUGAGACUCCGAAAUGAAAGAAUGAACUCUGGCAUGCCCGGCCCAAGGAGCAGAUUCUAAAUAAGGGCCUUUAUAGGAGGUGUGGCCACCACAGAGAAAAUAACCACUUAUUGCAGCAAAGCAAACAAAAAGGGAAAACAUUACCCAGAUUGACGCCUAAUUUUCUGUGGUGUUGGUUUAAUAUGGAACAUGCCCUGACAGGUCACAAUCCUGGCUUAUAUUUGAGGUUUCUCUGCUUCCCGUCGGACCUGAGACGUGAUGCCUGAUGAAAUACAACUAAAUAGCAGCGAAGAGGAGGGGACGUCACCUCCUGAUGCUUUUGACUGAUACCCCGCUCGCUGGGAGCUUCUUUCUCCUUCCAGAGGUGCCGGUUCUCAUCGCUUCGUUCAUCUCUUUCAUCCGCACGCUCCUGGCCUGGGAUGUCACCUGGACACGGAGCGUCUUGGGCUCCUGUUUGCAAACUCAUCAGCAAAAAAUAAACGUGUUGGAGGGCAGAGUGCUCCCCAGAGCUUUCCGCUUUCCCAGGGGUGCGGUCAGUGCUUGUGCAGCCGCACGCACGGAGCUGAGAGAUGAUCCAGCGCAGAACUACCUGCAUUUUAUAUCAACAGCGACUUCUCUGGUAUUAGACCAACCACGGGAGGAGUUGCAGAUGUCCUCGGCGUGACCAGACCUCAGGUUUUUAAGUUUCCCCCGUGCAGGGAUCUCUUAUGCUGCGGUGUCUUGUGUUCCAUCGAGCCGCGUUGCCAGGCUUAAAUAAUUAUAGUUGCUUUUUUUCCAGACUCUGAGCAAUACGUGUAGACUCCUCUACAUCCUUAAACAAAAACACCACCAUAAAAAAAGCACCAGCCUGCCCGGCUUCCUCGGGGAGUCUUCAAAACCUCCAAUUAGUGGGAGUUGAUUCUGGCUGUAAAGUGUUUCUUUAUUGGGGCAGUUUGUCCUGUUAAAAAGAACACCAGGGAUGCGUCUGAGGAGUGAGUGUGUGUAUGAGCCUUGUGAGCACCUUCAGCAGGAAAAACGCAUCAGUCCGGUGCGUUUCACAGCGUUUCUCUCGUCCUGCGGUUCAGGAUCCUCAGUGGGAGGGCAUCCAGACUCUUCUGAACUGUGCAAGUGGCCUCUGUAGUUCCAGGGUCCUGCUUGAGUUUAGAUUGUCCAUGAAAUGAGGUGAACUGAGAGCAAAAUGAGAAACUUUAAAUGCUUCAAAAUUGAGUUGCCUUCUAAUAUUUAAUCCUCUCUGUGUUCAGAAAGCUGAAUUGAAUAAUCUCGAUUACCAUAAUCCCAUUUUUGAAUCUACCAGGUUCCUGGCUCUUAAAUACUGUUUCGUAUUUCAGAGUCACUUGGCUUUACAACGGCAGAGCUGAUCUUUUUGGGGUGUUCUUGGUUUCCUUUUGGGCUUCUCUGGUGCUUCUUUCCAUCCUUCUGCUUUGUGACUUCAGAGAUGCUGAGGGGUCUGGAGCAUCUUUGUGAUGAGGAGACACUGAGAGAGAUGGGGCUGCUGAGCUGGAGAAGAGAAGCUGAGAGGGAUCUGAUCAAUGGAUCAAUAUCUCAGGGUGUGUGUCAGGGGAUGGACCAGACUCUGUUCAGUGGUGCCCAACGCCAGGGUGAGGGGCAACGGGCACAGACUGAAACACAGGAGGCUCCAUGUGAACAUGAGGAGAAACUUCUUCCCUUUGCGGUGCCAGAGCCUGGCCCAGGCUGCCCAGAGCGGGUGUGGAGUCUCCUUCUCUGAGACAUUCAAACCCCUGGGAUCCUGUGUGAUCUGCUCUGUGACCCUGCGUGAGCAGGGCUGGGCUGGGGAUCUACAGGGGUCCCUUAACACCAGCCACCCUGAUUCUGUGAUUCCCAUGGUGCAAUUCCCGGUGUUCCCCGGGAUCAGGGACUGUGUCCGUGUCACAUCGCAGCUUGCAGAACAGGAAAGGGAGUCGGAGCCCGUGCACACGGGGAUGGCUCAUUGUAGAUACCAUUAUUAACUGGGGCCUGGGAUAGAUCGGGUAAUUACUGUUUUCACAGCUGGAUUACCUCACUGCGCGUUUCAUCUGACUCACACCAUUAUGAAAGUCAACCUGAUGGCUGUUUUAACCUUAUUGAUAUGGUGUGAAACAGCUGUGGAGGGGCCUUUGUGUGGCUGCUGGUUGUGUUUGCCAUCGCUUUUCCUUUCCAAUCAACCAUCUGUUUACUUGUGGCAAACUCACCCCAGUGCCCUUCACACCUCACCUCAGGUAGGGUUCUUUUUUGAGACACCAUCAUUUGACUUUAUUUCUGAGUAUAUACAGUGAUAAUAUUAUCAUGAUUUCUUUGGUAAGAGCUGAAUACAAACCCAAUAGUGAAAUAAAUGUCUUACCACUCAUGUGGGACUGUAGGCUUGGGAGAGGGGCAGAACUGGAAGCAAUUUGUUUAUUGAAGAAGCUAAUUUGAAUUGUGAUGAGUGUGGGUACGUACUUGGAGCCUCACUUUUGGCCUGGAAAUAUUGAAGUGUGUCUCAGGGAUAGUUUUUCUUAAUAUUUUUUUUAAAAAAUCCAUUCAAAGAGUAUUUGUAGUGAACCACUACUCUGCUAAAACGUGCUUGUAAAAAGGCUAAAGAGAAAGAACUGUGAUAGUGGGUGUUUUAUAGCACAAUCCGUGGCCCUGUGAAGCCAGGAAGCCUUUGCCUUAUUUACAGUCCCCUCCUUCGCUGGUCUAUGAUGUUGUUUUUAUGGGCAACGGUGUAUUAUUUAAAACCUUGAAGGGGUUGUGUGAGAAAGCAGCAUCGCUUUAAAUCACAUAUCUGUAAGAGGUCAUAAAAUAGCCGGAUGACCCCUCGUAGGAUGCUGAGGUUUUUGACGGAGCUAAAAAAAGUAGAUGCCCAAAACCAUAUGGUAUUUUUGCUUCUCGCUGCUUGUCUCGUCUAUUUAACGUAUAAAUCCAACCAACUCCAACCUCUGCGGUUCUCGGAUGCGCGAGCUGACGUUUCGGAGAGGGUUCUUCAUUCAGCGCCAGAUACAACUUCUGGUAAAGACAAAGCCGAUUAACCACGAGGUUCUGCCUCCCCAGUCUGUCACCAACUGCUCCGGGUCCUGCCCCAUGGGACUGUCAGGUGUCACCACUCGGAUCCGCGUCCCCCGCAGCCCCUGGGUCGCGACUGGCAAUAGAAGAACCAACACAGGUUGCUUGGAGGUGUAGCCAUGGGAUGCUUUGUGGAAAACUCUCGGAGCCAAGAAAGGGAUCGGAGAACAACCCAGAUGGACACAAAGCGUAUGAACGUGCCCUUUUGGCAUUUGACACCAGUUUCUAGUUUUCUAAAAAAGAGAAAAUAGGGUCCAACACAUGGUCCUCCCAGUUGAAAUGCUGUUUCUUAAAUCAGAAGUAGUUUUCUAGCAUCUCGCCUUUGACUUGGAGGUUUUCGUUUCUGAAUGGAACAAUGUGACCUUGUGUGUUUGCACGUUAAUCACCUGGUGAAUUUUGGCCGCACGCGGUCACGUGCAGCGGGCAGCUCUUUAGCGUGGGAUGGAUUUAUACAGGGCUGCGCCCAUUUUUUGUUCAGCCUCAUGCUUCUAGCGUUGCUGAUUCAAAACAAGCUAAAAAAUGUCAGGCUCUUUAUUGAACUUGCUGCCGAACGCAGAGUCAGGCUGCUCAGAAAGCUCAGCCAUCCCCCUGAUGUUUCUUGCCAGCAGAAAUUCAAGCUGUCCCAAACCAGCAAGCAGAUGAAGUGAUCUGAUGGUGUCCGUUGACUAAAUUGCCUAUCGAGCUAUUUUUAGGAAUAAUAAGCCUAUAACAAGCCUUUUCGUCCAGGGUCCACUUUAUCUUGGGUUUUGUGCUGCUUAGUCCUGGUUUUGCUGAGCGGAGCCCUGGGUGGCAGGAGGGGACCGGCCGCUUCGCCUUCCUGCAUCCGCAGCCCCGAGCGCAUCCCUGCGGAGCUCGUCCCGGCAGCACCUUUAUUCCACAGCCGUUUUCCUUGGAGACCUAACACAGAUUCAACUGGAUGCGUUUAUUUUGUUGUUAUUUUCUUCUUUUAAACAAGUCCCCACGUAACUAAACGCUGGAAGGAGAAUUCGCCGGGUCGGAGCUGCUCGUGGGUGUAAACAGCUUCGUGCUUUGUGUCCGAGGAGCCUUGUGUUUCACUGGCGCUUCUGUGGGACUGAUCUCUGCAGUGUCGUUUUCUCGUUGCCACCAGGAAGGCAGCUCAUCCUGCUUAAACCCGGCCUGCCUUCAACCCCGGCCUAGGGAAGGAGCACUUCACAACAGACACUUGCUGCGUGGCGUUCAUUUUUCGGUUAUUUCAGCCCUGUAACACUGGUAGUAUUUAUUUUUUCCCAAAAUGAACAGAACUAGAGGCAAGGCAGCGUAUAUUGACAGAGUUUCUAAGAAGUCACUUCAAAGCUUCUCUGAGCUUUUCCAAAGGAAACGCGGAAUUAAUUCCACUUUGUUUUGCGCUCGGCUUGUUUUGCUGGGUUGGAGUUGUAAGCUGGGUCUGGCGUGUGUCUCCUCUUGUUUCAAUGACUCCGUGCUGGGCUUGUUCAUCUCCUCCAUAUGCACCGGAGCAGAUAAAAGUGGGAUAAAUCCUACCAGCGAUGGGAGAUUUCGGGAUGUGAGCCAGCACCUCAGAGCACCUCACAGCUCUGGAUUUAAACCUAUCGAGUGAUUUUUGCACAGAUGUUCCAUUUCUUUCACCUCAGAAUAGCAAAAUACUCAUUUAUAGCUCUGAAGUUCAUCUCCAAAGCGUCUUGAUGCUACAGAUCGGGUGGGCUGGUAAACGGAGAAGAUAUGUCAGCUGCAGAUGUAAUCCUGAAUUCAUGAUGGAAAUUGUUGAUCUCCCGCCUUUCCGAGCUUAAAACCAGUUUCCAGGAAUGUUCCGUUUCCAUUUCCAGCUGCCCACCCGCAUGGAUCUUGCUGCUGUUUGGUUGUAUUUUGUACUGAAAAUGGAUGUCCGGCCUCUUUCUGUGCAUCAGCCUCGCCAUGUCCUGCGUUCCGCUCCGUCCUGCUAGCGCUUCUUGGGCUGCUCUGGAUCUUUGGUCUGUGUUCUCAAAGGCCAAGCCAGACCCAACGUUACUUUCCGCUUGAGCGUGUGACGGCGGCUCUGGUUAUAACACCCGAUUCAAGAGCCUUUACUCGCCCCAUAGCCACUAAUUCCGCAAAGCUCCAAAUAAGCUUCACCCCUUUUGCUCCGUUGAGCUUUGAAUUUUCUGCUUUAGGAGAAAAGUUGGAGUUCAAAGUCCACAUCUAGGCUAACGCCGGGUGCUCGCCUGUUUGCUUUGGCACUGAUGCUCCUAAAGUUAAGCCUGGUGUGAUGCUGAUAUAUUUUUCAGACCAGCCAUCCCCCCUCCCGGUGCCUCCGUUGAAAACCAGCGGGUUUUGUCUUAGAGAUGCGGCUCCGUUAUAGAGCACACGUGUUAAGUGCACAUCAACCCCGCUCCUUGUCUCAAGUGGAAACAACCCCAUGUAACAAAACGUUGGGAAAACUGAGAGUGUUUUUCAGCUGUCGGACAGGCGAGAGGGUCGGGUCUGUCUUUAUGUCUAAACUGCGCUUUAUUGGGUCAAAUCCCCGCUGCUGUUCUAGUGGGAAAGUCUUUUUGGUGUGUCAACUGUUGUUCUCUUAAAAACGCAGCCAGUAACUUAAGAAGUGUUUACAGAAAGUAGUUUUGAGCAUUUAGGGUAACGUAAAAUAAAUGUGCUUUGUGUUCUGUACGUUAAUAUCCCUAAUUACUUCCAGUAAACUCGAAAUGUUGAAAUAA